UGAAGAGUCAUUCUGUAUUCCCAGGAGGAGAGAAUUAUAGCAAAAAUGUCAGAGAUAGCGGCAACGCCGACAACCUUCCCGCCUAUUAACAGGGGACAUAAGCAUGUUGAAUCUGAACAACCUAAGAAGCGGCGAUCGAAGAGCAAGAAACUUCCACAGAUCGAACACUAUAAAACUUUUAAGCCUCCAGAAAGAGAUUACAGAGAUACUGAAUUGGAAAAGUUUUCAACUUUCAUCAGUUCGUAUACAG
Mytilus trossulus (common blue mussel) is the source of this 250-nucleotide long non-coding RNA. RefSeq lists it as uncharacterized. The transcript is spliced from 4 exons. NCBI's taxonomy places the organism in Eukaryota, Metazoa, Mollusca, Bivalvia, Mytilida, Mytilidae. The record is from RefSeq and is a predicted model, not a curated record.